RNAcentral lists this transfer RNA (87 nucleotides) under Minisyncoccota bacterium. RNAcentral's name for it is "tRNA-Ser". It matches the Rfam family "tRNA". Rfam says of the family: Transfer RNA (tRNA) molecules are approximately 80 nucleotides in length. Their secondary structure includes four short double-helical elements and three loops (D, anti-codon, and T loops). Lineage: Bacteria; Bacillati; Minisyncoccota. The record is from RNAcentral.
GGAGAGAUGCCAGAGCGGUUGAAUGGAACAGUCUUGAAAACUGUCAGGGGGGAAACCUCCUCGGGAGUUCGAAUCUCCCUCUCUCCG